AGAGUUUGAUCCUGGCUCAGAUUGAACGCUGGCGGCAUGCCUAACACAUGCAAGUCGAACGGAAACGAUGGGAGCUUGCUCCCAGGCGUCGAGUGGCGGACGGGUGAGUAAUACUUAGGAAUCUGCCCAGUAGUGGGGGACAACUCGAGGAAACUCGAGCUAAUACCGCAUACGCCCCAAGGGGGAAAGCGGAGGAUCUUUCGGGACUUCGCGCUAUUGGAUGAGCCUAAGUCGGAUUAGCUUGUUGGUGAGGUAAAAGCUCACCAAGGCGACGAUCCGUAGCUGGUCUGAGAGGACGAUCAGCCACACUGGGACUGAGACACGGCCCAGACUCCUACGGGAGGCAGCAGUGGGGAAUAUUGGACAAUGGGGGAAACCCUGAUCCAGCAAUGCCGCGUGUGUGAAGAAGGCCUGCGGGUUGUAAAGCACUUUCAGUAGAGAAGAAAAGCCUGGGGUUAAUACCCCUGGGUCUUGACGUUACCUACAGAAGAAGCUCCGGCUAACUCCGUGCCAGCAGCCGCGGUAAUACGGAGGGAGCGAGCGUUAAUCGGAAUUACUGGGCGUAAAGCGCGCGUAGGCGGCUUUGUAAGUCGGAUGUGAAAGCCCUGGGCUCAACCUGGGGAUGGCAUUCGAUACUGCAUAACUAGAGUAUGGUAGAGGGAAGUGGAAUUUUCGGGUGUACGGUGAAAUGCGUAGAUA
This 699-nucleotide ribosomal RNA is filed under the name uncultured bacterium. RNAcentral describes it as "bacterial SSU rRNA". It matches the Rfam family "Bacterial small subunit ribosomal RNA", at positions 8 to 696 of the family's 1533-position model. The record is from RNAcentral.